Molecule: long non-coding RNA, 2045 nt
Organism: Oncorhynchus tshawytscha (Chinook salmon)
Lineage: Eukaryota; Metazoa; Chordata; Actinopteri; Salmoniformes; Salmonidae
Source: Ensembl
AAAUAACAUUACUGUGUGUAAAAAAAAUAAAAAUGAAUGGAUGAGAGAGAGAGUCACCUACAGGAAGUGGCAACAAGGCAUUAUUGGCAUGUCAUUAUUUAUUGAAAUAUGAGGAGACAGUCCAUCAGCUCUGAAAGAACUCCCCAGAACAGGAAGUGACAUGAAAGGGUGGCAGUAUGACAGCGAUGGGAGGAAGGGGGGUUCAUAGACAAGAAGAGGGUCAGCACGUUCAGGAGUGGUGCGUGUGUUUGAGGACAUCCAAGGCAUCUGCAGAACUUUACCAGAACACAUAGAAUGAGAAGGGACUGAUAGAGAUUGUCAAUCAAUACACACAGUUAAUUAUGGAAGUAGAUUCUCAUGCCAAAACAAAUACAAAAACGAAAAACAUUGAAACAUAAAUGUAUAUUUGAGCGUUGUUUUUCAAUAUCAGUGUUUUUGUUUUUCACCAUAGUGCAUCGUUAAAAAGACUUGAUAGAUUUUGACAUCGAUGACUUAAAUGCAGACGAUCAUAUACAGUAUAUACUUGACAGGUUUGUGUGUAUCACUAAUGAUUGGGGGCCUUAUGAAGUCAGUGUUUGGUAAAAGUGUAUAAGACAACAUCAAUAUAAUUCUACAAACUGACAUUACAAAAUGCCAAACUUCAGGAAGGCUGGGGGGGGAAGCUGUUUGUUCAGUUACGACACAUCACAGGUAACCACGGCUCAAACUUAUGGACAGCUGGGGGAGAAAGCUGUUUGUUCGUUCAAUUGCGACACAUCACAGGUAAGCACAGCUCACGGGACCAAUGCCGUCUUUGGUAUAGAACAAACGGCACUGAAAUGUGAAGCUAGUUGAAAUUCAACACGAAACAACUGAUGCAAGUACAGUGUCAGUCAUACCCAUUAACUUAAAUACAAUAAUUACACUCCCCUAAAUAUUUAUUGAGACAAUGAAGCUACAUUUUAAAAUUUGGCUCAAUACUCCAGCCUUUUAGAUUUUAGAUCAAAUGUUUCAUAUAAGGUCGACAGAACAGUCAGCUUUUUUUGUUGAGAGUAUUUUCAUACAGUCAGGUCCAUAAUUAUUGGCAUCUUUUGAUCAAGAUCAUUUUGACCCCUAUUUUUGUUUAAAGAAUGUUUUUUUAAAUGUUAGACAAAAUAUAUUUCUCUGAGCAAUUGUUUUAGUAUAAAAGAAUGAUGGAGUAAAAAGACACAUUUUACAUUUUCGCUUCACUGUCCAAAUACAUUUGGAGAGGAGUGUAUUUUUUUCUAAUUUAAAGCUCAGACUCCUAUAGACAAUUAAUAAAAACUAAAUUACGGAGAUCAUUAUGAAGAUCAUUGUUUUGUUCCUGAACUGCGUCUAUAAUAAGUGAAAAAUAAAAAAAAACAUGCAACACUAAACAAAUAUGUUUGGAUUUGUCGCCUUGUGCUUAUAACACACAAAAGGACAAAACCAAGAUGCAAUAAGUUAUUUUCAUUUUUAAGUGUAACCAGUGACAUAUACCGAAAGGUAGAACAUUGAAAAAUAAUUUAAAAAAGUUCUACAAAAAACAAGUGUCCGAAACUCUUACACAAUAUGCAAAACCAUUUGAAUGCCAUCAGAAAAAAAAAACAGUUAGAAAUGAGAUUUUAAGUGAGAUUCCUUUCUGAUUUUGUGUGUCUCACAACAUAAUUAAGUACUGGGUAAAGAAACAAAGAACAAAACGGUAUAACACUGUACACACCUAAGAAAGCGGAACCAGAAUCUAUUUUGUGUUUUUUUUGUUUUUUCUGUAAAUCAUUGUUUUGCAAUUUUCUUCCUCACAGUUCUCUUCCACGGGACAGCUUGAGCGUAAACACCUCUUGAAUGAUUGAAUUUUUUAAAAUUUAUAUAACAUUAACACUUUAUAUAUAUUUGUACAUAAUUCCAUUCACAUCUGCACGGUUAGCUAGCAUGGUAAUGAAAUAAGGCAAGACUCACAUGACUGUGACAUCACAAAUUUAUAAUACUGAUAGUUAAGGUUUCGUUACAUUUUUGUUUGAUGUUCUGCAGCAAGCUUUGGUCUGUUCAGACUAAAGGCAGAGUUUCUC